AGAUUGAACGCUGGCGGCGUGCCUAACACAUGCAAGUCGAGCGGUAACAGGUGUAGCAAUACAUGCUGACGAGCGGCGAACGGGUGAGUAAUGCUUCGGAAUCUACCCACGGGUGGGGAAUAGCCCGGAGAAAUCCGGAUUAAUACCGCAUAUGCCUACGGGUAAAGGACGGGGAGUCGUAAGACCUCGCGCUGGUGGAGUGAGCCUACGUCCGACUUAGCUGGUUGGUGGGGUAACGGGUCCCGACCCAACGGCGACGAUCGGUAGCUGGUCUGAGAGGAUGAUCAGCCACACUGGGACGUGAGAC
RNAcentral lists this ribosomal RNA (307 nucleotides) under uncultured prokaryote. RNAcentral's name for it is "bacterial SSU rRNA". It matches the Rfam family "Bacterial small subunit ribosomal RNA", at positions 26 to 325 of the family's 1533-position model. The record is from RNAcentral.